Molecule: non-coding RNA, 933 nt
Organism: Misgurnus anguillicaudatus (oriental weatherfish)
Lineage: Eukaryota; Metazoa; Chordata; Actinopteri; Cypriniformes; Cobitidae
Source: RefSeq, a predicted model, not a curated record
UAAACUCCUCAGGGAGCGUUUUCUCUUUAUUGACGAGAUGACUCAACAAUAUUUAUUGACAUUUAUCUGGAUAUCGCCAUUAAUUGUGCAAUUGUAGACAAAUUAAAAAUAUGAUUAAAGAGUGUGGUGUUUAGUUUCAUAAAUCAGUACACAGCAACAUUGGCGCAGUGAUACUUAUGUAAUGCGGUCUGAACAGUGGGGUUACCGGGGUAUUUUAUCACGCCUUAGAACGCGUUUCAACCGAUCAGAAUGAAGAACCAGAACGGGCCGUUUUAUAACAUGUUAUAAUAAAUUAUCUGUGGGGUAUUUAGAGCUAAAAUUUCACAUAUAGACUCUGGGGACACCAAAGAUUUAUUUGACAAACACGUCUUCUAAAAUGUUCCCUUUAAUUGUGUUUAUAGUGUGAAUUAUAACAUGUGCUUAUGUUUCGUGUGUAAAAAAUGCAGUAGUUUUCACACAAUUUACUAGAAAGUUAGAGUUUGAAAAAUGGGAUCACACUCUUAAGAAAAAUGGUUCUGAAAUGAUGGUAAAGGUUCUAUAUAGAACCAUAGCUUACUGAAGAACCCUUUUUUGUUGAAAUGGUUCUUUGUCUUGGCAAAAGGGUUCUUUAAUUCCCUCCUUUUUUGAUUUUAAAUUUAGUCAGUUAUUUUCAAGCUGCCUCCUGAUUAUUUUCACCUGUAAAAGCCCUGAAUCAUCAGUCCUGCUGAACCGCCUGCAGACUAACAACACAAACAGGUAAACUUUAUACUGUAAGCUUCAUUUCCUUUAAAGCAGAGUUUUUGUAUGUGAGGUAAUCUUGCUGGAAGUGCAGUGCGUAUGACUGCUUGAUAUGAGAGACACAUCCUGUUUUUAAAGGUCAACUUUAUACUGUAAGCUUCAUUCCAUCUAUAACAGGUAAGCUUCAUACUGUUUUAAAUGAUAGGAGACUCUGCU